RNAcentral lists this ribosomal RNA (442 nucleotides) under uncultured Thiobacillus sp. RNAcentral describes it as "bacterial SSU rRNA". It matches the Rfam family "Bacterial small subunit ribosomal RNA", at positions 936 to 1382 of the family's 1533-position model. Lineage: Bacteria; Pseudomonadati; Pseudomonadota; Betaproteobacteria; Nitrosomonadales; Thiobacillaceae. The record is from RNAcentral.
AUGAUGUGGAUUAAUUCGAUGCAACGCGAAGAACCUUACCUACCCUUGACAUGUCCGGAACUUGCCAGAGAUGGCUUGGUGCCCGAAAGGGAAUCGGAACACAGGUGCUGCAUGGCUGUCGUCAGCUCGUGUCGUGAGAUGUUGGGUUAAGUCCCGCAACGAGCGCAACCCUUAUCAUUAGUUGCUACGCAAGGGCACUCUAAUGAGACUGCCGGUGACAAACCGGAGGAAGGUGGGGAUGACGUCAAGUCCUCAUGGCCCUUAUGGGUAGGGCUUCACACGUCAUACAAUGGUCGGUACAGAGGGUUGCCAAGCCGCGAGGCGGAGCCAAUCCCACAAAGCCGAUCGUAGUCCGGAUUGUUCUCUGCAACUCGAGAGCAUGAAGUCGGAAUCGCUAGUAAUCGCAGGUCAGCAUACUGCGGUGAAUACGUUCCCGGGUCUU